This 516-nucleotide ribosomal RNA is filed under the name uncultured fungus. RNAcentral describes it as "eukaryotic LSU rRNA". The stretch from base 130 to 283 matches the Rfam family "5.8S ribosomal RNA". The record is from RNAcentral. Lineage: Eukaryota; Fungi.
CCCCUGUGGACAUACCUAUACGUUGCCUAUCGCUCGUGAUAGUCGCUGGGGUAAAAAGGGACGGCCCGCCCGAGGACCCUAAACUCUGUUUUUAGUGGAACUUCUGAAGGCUCGCUGAGAUGCUCGCUGAUAGGCCAACAACGGAUCUCUUGGUUCUGGCAUCGAUGAAGAACGAGGCUCGCUGAUGAAAGUAAUGUGAAUUGCAGAAUUCAGUGAAUCAUCGAAUCUUUGAACGCACAUUGCGCCCGCCAGUAUUCUGGCGGGCAUGCCUGUUCGAGCGUCAUUUCAACCCUCAAGCUCAGCUUGGUGUUGAUGCCUCCGGUAACCCGCGUUCCCCAAAUCGAUUGGCGGUCACGUCGAGCUUCCAUAGCGUAGUAAUCAUACACCUCGUUACUGGUAAUCGUCGCGGCCACGCCGUAAAACCCCAACUUCUGAAUGUUGACCUCGGAUCAGGUAGGAAUACCCGCUGAACUUAUGCUCGCUGAUAGUGAUGUCGCUCGUAGAUGCUCGCUGAUA